Molecule: long non-coding RNA, 952 nt
Filed under: Calidris pugnax (ruff)
Lineage: Eukaryota; Metazoa; Chordata; Aves; Charadriiformes; Scolopacidae
Description: lncRNA (ENSCPUG00000007669.1)
Source: RNAcentral
GCAAGCAACGUUGUUCUUGGAGGCAGAAUGUCACUGAAGACCUGCUCUUCACGCUGGCAAAGGAAGUACUUAAGCAACGUGAUGUUUGUUAAAACUGCAAAAUAUCUUCUAAACGUGUUUUUGCGCAACACUGGAGAAAAAUGCGAGUGCACGUGUGCAAGGCACACCAUCUGCUCACCCUGACGUGGUGCCCACACUUCCAGACCCUACCAGGACUCCUUUCCCCCACUUAUGGCUUCACUCCAGCAUCUAACCUAAGCACGACAGCGACAGCCAUACAAACAGCAAUCAUCCUGGCUCAUUCAUGUGCUAAUUGACCAGCUGGAGCAGGACCACCACCUCUCAACACAGCACGGCCACACCAGACUUGAGGAGUCCUUGUCAUAGGAAGAAAAGCACACAAGGCGGUGUGCAUCUGGUCCCCUGGUGAUUUACAAGCUCCCUUUCUCCUCGCAGUCUCUGUUUGGUGCAUGGGAGAGGGGAAGGAAGAAGCUGCUCAAACUGGCAGGUUCUCCCGACAACGUGUCUUUCUCUGUGGCAGCUGUGUGGGUGUGCUUGGGGAGAGAAGGUAAAACAACAUGGGGUGGGGGUAAAUUCCAGAGGGGUCUUUCUUUGUCCUUUCCCUGAAUAUACUUUGGAGAAAAUUAUGUGAGUGAAGAGUCGACAGAGAGAGAGAGGAGGAAAGCACGAUGCUGUGUGCAGCGGUGCCUGCACAGGUAGGAUCACUCAUCUCCCCAGAGGUUUGGCUCCUGCUGACCCAAGCCUGACAAGCUCCUGUCUCCUCUCCCAGCUCAUUGUCACAGGUGAUUUAAAGCACAGCUCAGCUCUGCAGCCUCUGUCACUGCCCAUCUCCCUGUCCUUCUGCUGGCCAUCUCCUUCCUUUCCUGGGUGUCACAGAAAAAGCCUUGCUUUCUGCUUGUGCCAGGGAGCAUUGCUGCAGGGUGGGAGAGGC